This 81-nucleotide ribosomal RNA is filed under the name Chloroflexota bacterium. RNAcentral's name for it is "Chloroflexi bacterium partial 16S ribosomal RNA". The stretch from base 1 to 71 matches the Rfam family "Bacterial small subunit ribosomal RNA", at positions 1463 to 1533 of the family's 1533-position model. Lineage: Bacteria; Bacillati; Chloroflexota. The record is from RNAcentral.
UGGGACUGGUGACUGGGACUAAGUCGUAACAAGGUAGCUGUAGCGGAAGCUGCGGCUGGAUCACCUCCUUUCAAGGGAGCA